AUUCAACUGAAGAGUCCCAAAAAGGACGAAGCACCCUAACUGAAU
RNAcentral lists this non-coding RNA (45 nucleotides) under Schistosoma haematobium. Lineage: Eukaryota; Metazoa; Platyhelminthes; Trematoda; Strigeidida; Schistosomatidae. The record is from RNAcentral.